UUUUUUUUUUUUUUUUUUUGUUUUUGGGGGCCAUUGCCUACAGAAGUUCCUGGGCUAGGGGUCGAAUCAGAGUUGCAGCUACCAACUUAUGCAAAGUCACAGCAACAUGGGAUCCGAGCCUCAUCAGGGACUGACACCGCAGCUCUCUGCAACGCCGGAUCCUUAACCAACAGAGCGAGGCCAGGGAUCGACCACAUCUUCAUGCAUGCUGGUAGAGCUCAUAACUGCUGAGCCAUGAUGGGAACUCCACGUUCAAGAAAUUUGAUCACAUCAAAAUUAGAAAAGUAAACUUCUAACCAUCAUGAUAGAGGAAAGGGGGAAAAAAAUAUUUGAAGUGCCUGAAACUGACAAAAGACUAGUAUUUAGAAUGUGCAAGGAAUGCAUACAAGGGAAAGACAAUAACCCUCACAAAAACGUGGGCAAAGAAUUUAAAUGAGGGAUUUAAAGGAGAAAUGCAAAGAGUUUACAAGUAUGUGAAGAAAUACUUAAAUUGGUGAUCAGAAAAUCCUCAAAGUAAAAUAAAAAUGAUACAUUUACACCUGUUCGACUACCAAAAAUUAGAAAGUUGGCUAAGCCGGGUAAUGAAGGCUGUUGAGAAGGAUGUCCCACAGCACUUAAGUGUGUGGGCACUGCCCUGCCAUUGUGGGGGACGCUCAGAUUAAGUGAUGUACCCCCUGCAUCCACCAUUUUACUCCUGAGGACAGAAACCAAAGAGGUCUAUAAGAAACAUUUUUAAAGAUGCUCAUCUCAGCACUCACCUUGCAGGUAAUCGGGUAUCCACAAACGGCAAGAGUGGACCAACACAAUGUGAUGGAUGUGUCCCACUGAGACUAAGAGUUAGAUCAACACAGGGAAAUAAACAGUGCAGGAAAGAAAAAACAGUAUAAAAUAGUAAGAAUUUCAUGUUAAGUAAACUCUCUAUACAUAGGACCCUAAAAGGAUACACAUUAAAUCCACUGGAAUGGUUUUUAUGGGAGAACAGCAGUGAAAAAUAGAGAUAACAAGAAAAAAUUACGUAAGGAGUUCCCGUCGUGGCACAGUGGUUAACGAAUCUGACUGGGAACCAUGAGGUUGCGGGUUCAGUCCCUGGCCUUGCUCAGUGGGUUAAGGAUCCGGCGUUGCCAUGAGCUGUGGUGUAGGUCGCAGACGUGGCUCGGAUCCCGUGUUGCUGUGGCUCUGGCGUAGGCCAGCGGCUAGAGCUCUGAUUAGACCCCUAGCCUGGGAACCUCCAUAUGCCACAGGAAGCGGCCCUAGAAAAGCCAAAAAGACAAAAAAAAAAAAAAAAAAGAAAGAAAGAAUUACAUAAAUAAGACAAGAAAGGACUUAAUACAUAGUUUGAUGAUGGUACUAUCCCAUCAAUGACAUCAGAGCUUCUACCUUGAGAUUCUAAAUUAAAAGGAAAAGCAAGCAAGCAAGCAAGCAACCAACAGUUGGUGACUCAGAGAACAAGAAUGAAGAGGAAGACCAGCAAAUACACUGGAAGUGAUGGCCAAGUCUGUGGUCAGGUGGUGGAUGUGCUGCCAAAGAAUGGAACUAGGAAGAGAGAGCAAGAGGGUUGAGGACAUGGGAGAAGUGGAGAAAACUACAGGAAAAGCAGUUCGGAACUUUUCCAAGUCAUUUGAAGGCAAAAAAACUCCUUGCUGCAAAAGCCAGCUAGAGAAAACAAAAUAAUUUCAGAUAAAUUUCACUAAAUAAUGUGAUGUAAAAUAGUAAAAUAAAAUCCAGUAGCAUAUUUGAAAUUGCACCAAAUCCAAGGAGAGUUCAUGCCAGGCAUUCCAGAUUUCAACUACAGAAGAACAAUAAGUCAUUACAUUAAAAUAUAGAGGGGGAAAGAAUCAUGUAAUCACAUUGUUAGAUGCCAAAUGAGCUUCUGUUAAAAUUAACAAUCAUUCAUACUGAAAAGAAUGAAAAUUUUAGACAAAAUAGGAAAAAAGGAAACAUCCUAAAGCUCAAAGUUAUAAAAGCAGAACUAGCAGCAAAGCUCAUAUUAAAUUUUGAAAUAUAAAAGGCAAUUCUAUAAAAUUACGAAAAUGCAGUAUCCAUCCAGAGAUUUUAAAUAAACAUGGGGGGGGAGAUAAAUGUAUUAUUAUCUAAAACAAUGUAAUUAUUUUCCUAGAAAUGCAAGUAAAAAUAUUAAAACUUGCUAAGCGUUGAAAACGUGACUAGAUAUAAAAUAUACUAAAAAACAGUCGAUUUCCUUUAUACCAGCCAUAAGUAGUUGUAAAGUCCAUUUAUAAGGAAAACCCAAUCAAAACAUCAAAAACUGUAGCAUGUCUGGGAAUUAAUUUAAUAAGAAAUACAAACCACAUGAAUAAAACUAUAAAGAGUUACAAGAAGACAUUAAGAACAGCCCUGAGAGAUAGAUUUGCUCUGAUCAAAGCCUCCUCCCACAAGGAUUUGGAUUCCUCCCUCUUCUCACUGUACUGAAGAUCUUCCUGGUCAGUGGAUGUCAUCAAGUUACUCUCUGUACUGGGUCAGUCUUCUCAUCCUACACAACACACUAUAGCAUCACCCAUGUUUUUAAAAGCAAAAUAAGAAUUCCAUUACCACACCAAACCUCACGGAAAAAUAUCUCCAAGGGAUUGCCUAUGGUUAACAGAGUCAACUCUCAUUAUUCACAGAUCCCAUGAAU
This 2632-nucleotide long non-coding RNA is filed under the name Sus scrofa (pig). RNAcentral describes it as "lncRNA (ENSSSCG00015065881.1)". Lineage: Eukaryota; Metazoa; Chordata; Mammalia; Artiodactyla; Suidae. The record is from RNAcentral.